UAGGGAAUCUUCCACAAUGGACGCAAGUCUGAUGGAGCAACGCCGCGUGAGUGAAGAAGGUUUUCGGAUCGUAAAGCUCUGUUGUUGGUGAAGAAGGAUAGAGGCAGUAACUGGUCUUUAUUUGACGGUAAUCAACCAGAAAGUCACGGCUAACUACGUGCCAGCAGCCGCGGUAAUACGUAGGUGGCAAGCGUUGUCCGGAUUUAUUGGGCGUAAAGCGAGCGCAGGCGGAAUGAUAAGUCUGAUGUGAAAGCCCACGGCUCAACCGUGGAACUGCAUCGGAAACUGUCAGUCUUGAGUGCAGAAGAGGAGAGUGGAAUUCCAUGUGUAGGUGUGGAAUGCGUAGAUAUAUGGAAGAACACCAGUGGCGAAGGCGGCUCUCUGGUCUGCAACUGACGCUGAGGCUCGAAAGCAUGGGUAGCGAACAGG
Molecule: ribosomal RNA, 429 nt
Filed under: bacterium
Lineage: Bacteria
Description: partial 16S ribosomal RNA
Rfam family: Bacterial small subunit ribosomal RNA
Source: RNAcentral